RNAcentral lists this ribosomal RNA (163 nucleotides) under Discocnide mexicana. Its description in RNAcentral is "5.8S ribosomal RNA". It matches the Rfam family "5.8S ribosomal RNA". From Rfam's summary of the family: 5.8S ribosomal RNA (5.8S rRNA) is a component of the large subunit of the eukaryotic ribosome. It is transcribed by RNA polymerase I as part of the 45S precursor that also contains 18S and 28S rRNA. The record is from RNAcentral. Lineage: Eukaryota; Viridiplantae; Streptophyta; Magnoliopsida; Rosales; Urticaceae.
CAACGACUCUCGGCAACGGAUAUCUCGGCUCUCGCAUCGAUGAAGAACGUAGCGAAAUGCGAUACGUGGUGUGAAUUGCAGGAUCCCGUGAACCAUCGAGUUUUUGAACGCAAGUUGCGCCCGAAGCCACUAGGCCGAGGGCACGCCUGCCUGGGCGUCACGC